Vicia faba (fava bean) is the source of this 210-nucleotide non-coding RNA. The record is from the annotation of a GenBank genome assembly. NCBI's taxonomy places the organism in Eukaryota, Viridiplantae, Streptophyta, Magnoliopsida, Fabales, Fabaceae.
AUGGAGGAAGCCACUUCUCCCAUGCAUCUCCGCAACCGGAUGCAACUUUGCCAUCGCGAAUUAACACUAUUAGCUGCUUCACCAUCGCUUCUGGAUCCCGGCCUGUUGCACCACUUUCUAAAUGCGGUUCAUCCACCACCAUCCGUAGCCACGCCUAGCGGCCUUAUUUCUUCUCCCAAUCUGAUUAUUGCGGAGGAGGACACAUGUUAG